This 300-nucleotide unclassified non-coding RNA is filed under the name uncultured fungus. Its description in RNAcentral is "sequence contains 5.8S rRNA gene, ITS2". Lineage: Eukaryota; Fungi. The record is from RNAcentral.
GAAAAGAACUUUGAAAAGAGAGUUAAAUAGUACGUGAAAUUGUUGAAAGGGAAACGAUUGAAGUCAGUCGUACCAACGGGAAAUCAACCUAUUGGAGUUGUGAAUUUUGGAUUUUGAAGAGUGUAAACCUUCGGGUUCAAAUAUUUGCGCUUUUUAGGCGUAAUUUUUCGUUCGGUAGGUUAACAUCGAUUUUGAAGAUUAUAAAAUGACCGGAGGAAUGUAGCUUCGAUCUCGUAUUGAAGUGUUAUAGCCUUUGGUAGAUGUAAUGAUCAAGAUCGAGGAUUGCAACGAAUACCCUUU